AGCGCGUCGUAGUCCGGAUUGGAGUCUGCAACUCGACUCCAUGAAGUCGGAAUCGCUAGUAAUCGCAAAUCAGAAUGUUGCGGUGAAUACGUUCCCGGGCCUUGUACACACCGCCCGUCACACCAUGGGAGUGGGUUGCACCAGAAGUAGAUAGCUUAACCUUCGGGAGGGCGUUUACCACGGUGUGAUUCAUGACUGGGGUGAAGUCGUAACAAGGUAACCCUAGGGGAACCUGGGGU
Molecule: ribosomal RNA, 239 nt
Filed under: Aeromonas dhakensis
Lineage: Bacteria; Pseudomonadati; Pseudomonadota; Gammaproteobacteria; Aeromonadales; Aeromonadaceae
Description: partial 16S ribosomal RNA
Rfam family: Bacterial small subunit ribosomal RNA
Source: RNAcentral